CACAGACUUAAGAUUUACAGCACUAUAAUGUGAUUUAUAGUUUAUCUGUUCACCAAGAUUUAUAUUCUAGAGCUAUUGGUUUGAGACUAAACAUGCAUGGCUAAUUUAGUAAGAACUGGCUAGCUGAGUGUUUGGAGAAUGAGUCAUUCUAGAUAUCCCAGUUUUCUGUAGAGCUUAAACCUCUUUAAGCAUUAAAAUUUUUUAGAAGAAUUUCUGAAGGAAAUCUUUUUAAAACUUAGUAUGCAUUCCUAAACAAUAUAUGAAAGACAUUUUAAUCUUUUUCAAUGUCAAAAUGAUCAUUAUUAGCAUUAGUUGUUAUACUGUGAUAGACUUACACCCUGAGGACUGUAUACCCCUUUACCUGAAUGGCUCCAUUCUCUGCCCUGUGUUUUCAGUUUCUUGUUUUCUAAUAGUUCUGAUUCCUCCAAUUUAUUUUACUGCUUGCUUAAGUGUGCCUGUAGCACUAGCCUUUCUCCACCUUCAUAAUACUCUUUUUUUUUUUAAGAUUUCAUUUUUUCCUUUUUCUCCCCAAAGCCCCCCAGUACAUAGUUGUAUAUUUCUCGCUGUGGGUUCUUCCAGUUGUGGCAUGUGGGACGCCGCCUCAGCGUGGUCUGAUGAGCAAUGCCAUGUCCGCGCCCAGGAUUCGAACCAACGAAACACUGGGCCGCCUGCAGCGGAGCGCGCGAACGUAACCACUCGGCCACGGGGCCAGCCCCGACCUUCAUAAUACUCUUAGUCAGCUUUGGUUUUGGAACCCAGAUGACCAAGACAGCUAGAGUAAUGUAUAAAGUAAGAGUACGUUGACUCUGAAGACCUGAAGUACUGGAUUAGACUUAAGUGCGUGGAUUUUGUGACCUCUUGCUACUGUUUCAUUGCUAUCUUUAAAAAAAGUGGUUACUAGAUUAGAUAUCUGCUCUCAAAAGAGCUAUUAUUGUACAAAAAGAACCAUUUUGUUUCUAUACUUUACCUUCUCUAUAUUUCUGCCCUCUAAUUUUUUGGCUCUGAUUAAAAUCAGUCCAUUUGAAUUAGAAUUUUCUAUAGUACUUUCUAUUUGAAUUGGAU
This 1062-nucleotide long non-coding RNA is filed under the name Equus caballus (horse). RNAcentral describes it as "lncRNA (ENSECAG00000050304.1)". The record is from RNAcentral. Lineage: Eukaryota; Metazoa; Chordata; Mammalia; Perissodactyla; Equidae.